This 448-nucleotide ribosomal RNA is filed under the name uncultured bacterium. Its description in RNAcentral is "SSU rRNA". It matches the Rfam family "Bacterial small subunit ribosomal RNA", at positions 26 to 518 of the family's 1533-position model. The record is from RNAcentral.
AGAACGAACGCUGGCGGCAGGCUUAACACAUGCAAGUCGAACGGUUGUAGCAAUACAGCAGUGGCAGACGGGUGAGUAACACGUGGGAACCUUCCUAGGGGUACGGAACAACUCAGGGAAACUUGAGCUAAAUACCGUAUACGUCCGUGAGGAGAAAGUUUUAACGCCCCUAGACGGGCCCGCGUAGGAUUAGGUAGUUGGUGAGGUAACGGCUCACCAAGCCUACGAUCCUUAGCUGAUCUGAGAGGAUGAUCAGCCACACUGGGACUGAGACACGGCCCAGACUCCUACGGGAGGCAGCAGUGGGGAAUCUUGGACAAUGGGCGCAAGCCUGAUCCAGCCAUGCCGCGUGAGUGAAGAAGGCCUUCGGGUUGUAAAGCUCUUUUACCAGGGACGAUAAUGACGGUACCUGGAGAAUAGCCCCGGCAAACUUCGUGCCAGCAGCCGC